Molecule: ribosomal RNA, 465 nt
Filed under: uncultured bacterium
Lineage: Bacteria
Description: partial 16S ribosomal RNA
Rfam family: Bacterial small subunit ribosomal RNA
Source: RNAcentral
CCUACGGGGGACUGCAGUAGGGAAUCUUCCACAAUGGGCGAAAGCCUGAUGGAGCAACGCCGCGUGGGUGAAGAAGGUCUUCGGAUCGUAAAACCCUGUUGUUAGAGAAGAAAGUGCGUGAGAGUAACUGUUCACGUUUCGACGGUAUCUAACCAGAAAGCCACGGCUAACUACGUGCCAGCAGCCGCGGUAAUACGUAGGUGGCAAGCGUUAUCCGGAUUUAUUGGGCGUAAAGGGAACGCAGGCGGUCUUUUAAGUCUGAUGUGAAAGCCUUCGGCUUAACCGGAGUAGUGCAUUGGAAACUGGGAGACUGGAGUGCAGAAGAGGAGAGUGGAACUCCAAGUGUAGCGGUGAAAUGCGUAGAUAUAUGGAAGAACACCAGUGGCGAAGGCGGCUCUCUGGUCUGUAACUGACGCUGAGGUUCGAAAGCGUGGGUAGCAAACAGGAUUAGAUACCCGUGUAGUC